Molecule: non-coding RNA, 31 nt
Filed under: Mus musculus (house mouse)
Lineage: Eukaryota; Metazoa; Chordata; Mammalia; Rodentia; Muridae
Source: RNAcentral
UUGAGAAACAAAGAAGUGCUCACGUUGUGUU